CAACACCAGAAUCAGAAACACAUUAUGGAUUGGAGGUAACGCACUCACACCAUUGCACUGGAAUGAUGCCGUUCCACUCAGUGGAGACACAGGAAAGAAUAUCUGGUGACUGUUUUCUACCCCCCCCCCCAAAAAAAGAAAAAAA
Notechis scutatus (mainland tiger snake) is the source of this 145-nucleotide non-coding RNA. Lineage: Eukaryota; Metazoa; Chordata; Lepidosauria; Squamata; Elapidae. The record is from RefSeq and is a predicted model, not a curated record.